RNAcentral lists this ribosomal RNA (2880 nucleotides) under hot springs metagenome. RNAcentral describes it as "bacterial LSU rRNA". It matches the Rfam family "Bacterial large subunit ribosomal RNA", at positions 1 to 2277 of the family's 2925-position model. The record is from RNAcentral.
AUAAGGAACCAAGGGCUGACGGUGGAUACCUUGGCACUCAGAGGCGAUGAAGGACGUGGUUACCGACGAAACGCUCCGGGGAGCUGGAAACAAGCUGUGAUCCGGAGGUCUCCGAAUGGGGCAACCCCUUGGACGGUCGGCUGAAUCCAUAGGCCGACACGAGCGAACCCGGCGAACUGAAACAUCUUAGUAGCCGGAGGAAAAGAAAACAAACGUGAUUCCCCUAGUAGCGGCGAGCGAACGGGGAGGAGCCCAAACCAGGUGGCUUGCCAUCUGGGGUUGUGGGACGGCAUACGGGAGCGGACCUGCUAGACGAAGUGUUUGAAUGGCACACCAGAGAAGGUGAAAGUCCUGUAGUCGAAAGCGGGAAUGCCCUAGCCGGAUCCCGAGUAGCACGGGAGAUAACCCGUGUGAAUCUGCGAGGCCCACCUCGUAAGGCUAAAUACUCCUGAGUGACCGAUAGUGCAACAGUACCGCGAGGGAAAGGUGAAAAGAACCCCGGGCAGGGGAGUGAAAGAGAGCAUGAAACCGUCAGCCUACAAGCAGUGGGAGGCCGAUUAGAACGGCUAACCGCGUGCCUGUUGAAGAAUGAGCCGGCGACUUAUAAGUACCUGGCAGGUUAAGCCGCAAAUGGCGAAGCCGUAGGGAAACCGAGUCUGAACAGGGCGUUUGUCAGUGCUUAUAGACCCGAACCCGGGUGAUCUAACCAUGGCCAGGAUGAAGCUUGGGUAACACCAAGUGGAGGUCCGAACCGACCGAUGUUGAAAAAUCGGCGGAUGAGCUGUGGUUAGGGGUGAAAUGCCAAUCGAACCCGGAGCUAGCUGGUUCUCCCCGAAAUGCGUUGAGGCGCAGCGGUUGCCAUACCGGUUGGGGGUAGAGCACUGUUUCGGUGCGGGCGGCGAGAGCUGUACCAAAUCGAGGCAAACUCCGAAUACCAGCCGUUGAGGCAGCUAGUGAGACGGUGGGGGAUAAGCUUCAUCGUCGAGAGGGAAACAGCCCAGACCACCAGCUAAGGUCCCCAAAUUAUGGCUAAGUGGCAAAGGAGGUGGGAGUGCAGAGACAACCAGGAGGUUGGCCUAGAAGCAGCCAUCCUUAAAAGAGUGCGUAAUAGCUCACUGGUCAAGCGCUCCUGCGCCGAAAAUGAAUGGGACUAAGCCAUAUACCGAAGCUGUGGACAGGCGACUGUGGUAGGGAGCGUUCUGGGUGGGGUGAAGCAUCAGCGGAAGCAGGUGUGGACUGCCCAGAAGUGAGAAUGUCGGCUUGAGUAGCGAAAACAUUGGUGAGAAUCCAAUGCCCCGGAAACCCAAGGGUUCCGCCGCCAGGUUCGUCCGCGGCGGGUGAGUCAGGGCCUAAGGCGAGGCCGAAAGGCGUAGUCGAUGGACAACGGGUUAAUAUUCCCGUACCGUGUGUGGAUUGUGCUGGGGGACGGAGGAGGCUAGGCCAGCGAGGUGAUGGUUACUCGUGCAAGCGUUCGACGCGAGGAGGGGCGGCGAAAACGUCCUGAGCCGAGGCGCGAGUCCGAGGGACUACGGUCCCGAAGUGGCUGAUGUCAGACUCCCGAGAAAAGCCCAAACACGUUAAGCACACGCCUGUACCCGAAACCGACACAGGUGGGUUGGUAGAGGAUACCAAGGGGCGCGAGCUAACUCUCUCUAAGGAACUCGGCAAAAUGGCCCCGUAAGUUCGCAAGAAGGGGUGCCCCCGCAAGGGGGUCGCAGUGAAGAGGCUCUGGCAACUGUUUACCAAAAACACAGGUCUCCGCUAAGUCGUAAGACGACGUAUGGGGGCUGACGCCUGCCCAGUGCCGGAAGGUUAAGGAAGCUGGUUAGCGCAAGCGAAGCUGGCGACCGAAGCCCCGGUGAACGGCGGCCGUAACUAUAACGGUCCUAAGGUGAAUGAGUUGCCUUAGUAAAACUGAACCAUAUGCGGGAACAUCCUCAUACAGCUUGUCUCUACUCGUCUAGUUAGGCGCUUGAGCUGAGGGCUACUACCUUAGCGCUGUUGAGCUAGGCAGUCAAAAGGAGCAAGACAGGGGGACAAUCCGCAGGAAAGGCCUAGGAACGGUGGUUUCUAGGAAUCCUCAGAGACUUGAUGUUCAGGUACGGCUCAUGCAUUUGGAGACGCAGUGGAUUGUCGGUUUUGUAGAUGGUGAAGGCUGUUUUCACGUGAGUGUUCAUCCUCACGCAGAAAUGGCUACUGGUUACCAAGUGUUACCAGAGUUCACCGUGGUACAACACCGACGGGAUGUUCAGGUGCUCUAUGGCUUGAAAGCCUACUUUGGCUGUGGGGUCGUGCGGGUUAAUCAGGGUGACCGCAUGGCCUAUCGAGUCAGGGGCCUGGAACAUCUGGCGCAACGGAUCGUGCCUUUUUUCCUCAAGCAUCCCCUGAAGACGAGUAAGAACAUUGACUUCCUGAAGUUUCGGGAUGUGGUCUUACUGUGUCAGGCAGGGGAGCAUUUGACGGAGGCAGGCAUUAUUAAGAUCCAGCGGAUUGCUGCCCAGAUGAAUCGUAGCCGUACAAGGUAAAGUCCAGCUUUGCUGGAAACAGCAAAGGUUAACUGAGCGAAAUUCCUUGUCGGGUAAGUUCCGACCCGCACGAAAGGCGUAAUGAUCAGAGCGCUGUCUCGGAGAGAGGCUCGGCGAAAUAGACGUGUCCGUGAAGAUGCGGACUACCUGUACCUGGACAGAAAGACCCUAUGAAGCUUUACUGUAGCCUGGAAUUGGGUUUUGGCUUGCUUUGCGUAGGAUAGGUGGGAGGCUGUGAAGGUGCCCUUGCGGGGGUGCUGGAGCCGACGGUGAAAUACCACUCUGAGCAGGCUGAGAUUCUAACCCUGACCCGUGAGCCGGGCAGGGGACCGUUUCAGGUGGGCAGUUUGACUGG